Molecule: transfer RNA, 76 nt
Filed under: Aeromonas sobria
Lineage: Bacteria; Pseudomonadati; Pseudomonadota; Gammaproteobacteria; Aeromonadales; Aeromonadaceae
Description: tRNA-Asn
Rfam family: tRNA
About the family: Transfer RNA (tRNA) molecules are approximately 80 nucleotides in length. Their secondary structure includes four short double-helical elements and three loops (D, anti-codon, and T loops).
Source: RNAcentral
UCCCUCGUAGUUCAGUUGGUAGAACGGCGGACUGUUAAUCCGUAUGUCACAGGUUCAAGUCCUGUCGAGGGAGCCA